UUAGGGUUAGGCUAUUCGAGAAGGUGGCUACGGAGGAGGAGGUGGCAGCAGUGGAGAAGGAGGAGUCUGUUUCUUGGCCUAGAGAUUAUGAGGUGUGUUAGCUCAGUUUCCACAUUAUCUCUACACACCAAUUGACAUUUGUUUUGCAAUGUGUUACUUGCUUCACUUUGUGCUUCUUGUUCUGGUGUAUUAGGAUGUGGCAUGCCAAGAAGUAAAGUUUAAUGGUGGGAGAGCAUCUGCUGCAUCACUCUGGGCCUGUGCUAUAAGGGAACACUACCUCAUCACAGCGCCAACCGGUGGUAGAAAUUGGAUACCGGAAAAUGAUUCUGAUGGGUAUUUGGUUCGGGACUUUUGCCAAUACAUCCAAGGAUUCAAAGGAGCAUUGCAAGUGUCUUCUGUCGCUGGAAUUCGCAAGAAACAGAUGGAAAGGAUCAAGGAGGCUGAGCGAAAUAUAAUUGGCAAUCGAGGAGCGAAUGAAAAUGCAGCAGAAGAGCUUGUGGUGGCCGAAACAAGGUAAUAUUUUACUAAAUUUUAAUAGUAAAAUUAAAAUUUUAUUUUUUCUCAGCAAAAAGAAAAGUAAAACCUUUAAGAAAAAGAAGAAAUAAGAUCAGAGAGUAUUUGUCGGUAAGUCUAUAACUGUAUCACUUGUAUUGCUAAUAUGUUGUUAUGUAGUGAGACGCAACGAAUUAAUCCUA
RNAcentral lists this long non-coding RNA (695 nucleotides) under Selaginella moellendorffii. Its description in RNAcentral is "long non-coding RNA (SMOE_LNC000524)". Lineage: Eukaryota; Viridiplantae; Streptophyta; Lycopodiopsida; Selaginellales; Selaginellaceae. The record is from RNAcentral.